GAAUUCACUAGUGAUUCAGGCCUAACACAUGCAAGUCGAGCGAUCUUCUUCGGAAGAGAGCGGCGGACGGGUGAGUAACGCGUGGGUAACCUGCCCUGUACACACGGAUAACAUACCGAAAGGUAUGCUAAUACGAGAUAAUAUGCUUUUAUCGCAUGGAAGAAGUAUCAA
RNAcentral lists this ribosomal RNA (171 nucleotides) under uncultured bacterium. Its description in RNAcentral is "partial 16S ribosomal RNA". It matches the Rfam family "Bacterial small subunit ribosomal RNA", at positions 43 to 204 of the family's 1533-position model. The record is from RNAcentral.